RNAcentral lists this transfer RNA (72 nucleotides) under Bos taurus (domestic cattle). It matches the Rfam family "tRNA". From Rfam's summary of the family: Transfer RNA (tRNA) molecules are approximately 80 nucleotides in length. Their secondary structure includes four short double-helical elements and three loops (D, anti-codon, and T loops). The record is from Rfam by way of RNAcentral. RNAcentral also lists the same sequence under 4 other names. Lineage: Eukaryota; Metazoa; Chordata; Mammalia; Artiodactyla; Bovidae.
UCCCUGAUGGCUCAGUUGGUAAAGAAUCCAUCUGCAAUGCGGGAGACCCAGGUUCGAUCCCUGGGUUGGGAA